UGCGGAGGGAUCAUUACCGAGUUUACAACUCCCAAACCCCUGUGAACAUACCUAUUUGUUGCCUCGGCGGUGCCUGUUCCGACAGCCCGCCAGAGGACCCCAAACCCUGAUUACAUUUAAGAAGUCUUCUGAGUAAACCGAUUAAAUAAAUCAAAACUUUCAACAACGGAUCUCUUGGUUCUGGCAUCGAUGAAGAACGCAGCGAAAUGCGAUAAGUAAUGUGAAUUGCAGAAUUCAGUGAAUCAUCGAAUCUUUGAACGCACAUUGCGCCCGCUAGUAUUCUGGCGGGCAUGCCUGUCCGAGCGUCAUUUCAACCCUCAAGCCCCCGGGCUUGGUGUUGGGGAUCGGCGAGCCUCCGCGCCCGCCGUCCCCUAAAUCUAGUGGCGGUCUCGCUGUAGCUUCCUCUGCGUAGUAGCACACCUCGCACUGGGAAACAGCGCGGCCACGCCGUUAAACCCCCAACUUCUGAACGUUUGACCUCGGAUCAGGUAGGAAUACCCGCUGAACUUAAGCAUAUCA
RNAcentral lists this ribosomal RNA (519 nucleotides) under Dactylonectria macrodidyma. RNAcentral describes it as "eukaryotic LSU rRNA". The stretch from base 155 to 308 matches the Rfam family "5.8S ribosomal RNA". The record is from RNAcentral. Lineage: Eukaryota; Fungi; Ascomycota; Sordariomycetes; Hypocreales; Nectriaceae.